GAACGGGUGAGUAACACGUGAGCAACCUGCCCUAGGCUUUGGGAUAACCCCGGGAAACCGGGGCUAAUACCGAAUAGGACCUGGCACCGCAUGGUGUUGGGUGGAAAGUUUUUCGGCCUGGGAUGGGCUCGCGGCCUAUCAGCUUGUUGGUGGGGUGAUGGCCUACCAAGGCGACGACGGGUAGCCGGCCUGAGAGGGCGACCGGCCACACUGGGACUGAGACACGGCCCAGACUCCUACGGGAGGCAGCAGUGGGGAAUAUUGCACAAUGGGCGGAAGCCUGAUGCAGCGACGCCGCGUGAGGGAUGACGGCCUUCGGGUUGUAAACCUCUUUCAGCAGGGACGAAGCGUAAGUGACGGUACCUGCAGAAGAAGCGCCGGCCAACUACGUGCCAGCAGCCGCGGUAAGACGUAGGGCGCGAGCGUUGUCCGGAUUUAUUGGGCGUAAAGAGCUCGUAGGCGGCUUGUCGCGUCGACUGUGAAAACCCACGGCUCAACCGUGGGCCUGCAGUCGAUACGGGCAGGCUAGAGUUCGGUAGGGGAGACUGGAAUUCCUGGUGUAGCGGUGAAAUGCGCAGAUAUCAGGAGGAACACCGGUGG
Molecule: ribosomal RNA, 600 nt
Filed under: Micromonospora narathiwatensis
Lineage: Bacteria; Bacillati; Actinomycetota; Actinomycetes; Micromonosporales; Micromonosporaceae
Description: bacterial SSU rRNA
Rfam family: Bacterial small subunit ribosomal RNA
Source: RNAcentral